GACGAACGCUGGCGGCGUGCUUAACAUAUGCAAGUGGUGCGACGAACCAGGCUUCGGCCUGGGGCGAAGCCGCGAACGGUUGAGUAACACGUGGGCAAUAUGCCCCUUUGAUCGGGACCACCCGGGGAAACCCGGGCUAAUACCGAAUGAGGUGGCGACUCAUGAGAGUCGUCCAGACAGGAAGCUUCGGCCUCAGCGACGGGAUGAGCCCGCGGCCCAUGAGAUUGUUGGUGGGGUAAUGGCCCACCAAGGCAACGAUGGGUAGCUGGUCUGAGAGGGCGAUCAGCCACACUGGGACUGAGACACGGCCCAGACUCCUACGGGAGGCUGCAGUGGGGAAUCUUGCGCAAUGAGCGACAGCUUGACGCAGCAACGCCGCGUGAGGGAAGAAGGCUUUCGGGUCGUAAACCUCUUUCAGUUAGGACGAAGCUUUAUUGGUUAAUAACCAAUUGGAGUGACGGUACUUUCAGAAGAAGCCCCGGCUAACUACGUGCCAGCAGCCGCCGUAA
RNAcentral lists this ribosomal RNA (509 nucleotides) under uncultured bacterium. RNAcentral describes it as "partial 16S ribosomal RNA". It matches the Rfam family "Bacterial small subunit ribosomal RNA", at positions 28 to 523 of the family's 1533-position model. The record is from RNAcentral.